CUGGAACUGCCAUCAAAACUUUUCAGCUAGAGUUUGAUAGAGGAAAGCAGAAUUUCUAGUGUAGAGGUGAAAUUCGUAGAUAUUAGAAAGAAUACCAAUUGCGAAGGCAGCUUUCUGGAUCAUUACUGACACUGAGGAACGAAAGCAUGGGUAGCGAAGAGGAUUAGAUACCCUCGUAGUCCAUGCCGUAAACGAUGUGUGUUAGACGUUGGAGAUUUAUUUUCAGUGUCGCAGCGAAAGCGAUAAACACACCGCCUGGGGAGUACGACCGCAAGGUUAAAACUCAAAUGAAUUGACGGGGACCCGCACAAGUAGUGGAGCAUGUGGUUUAAUUCGAAGAUACGCGCAGAACCUUACCAACACUUGACAUGUUCGUCGCGACUUUAAGAGAUUAAAGUUUUCGGUUCGGCCGGACGAAACACAGGUGCUGCAUGGCUGUCGUCAGCUCGUGUCGUGAGAUGUUGGGUUAAGUCCCGCAACGAGCGCAACCCUCACUUUUAGUUGCCAUCAUUUAGUUGGGCACUCUGAAAGAACUGCCAGUGAUAAGCUGGAGGAAGGUGGGGAUGACGUCAAGUCCUCAUGGCCCUUACGUGUUGGGCUACACACGUGCUACAAUGGUAUUUACAACAGGAAGCAAGACGGCGACGUUAAGCAAAUCCUUAAAAAAUACCUCAGUUCGGAUUGCACUCUGCAACUCGAGUGCAUGAAGCUGGAAUUACUAGUAAUCGUGGAUCAGCGUGCCACGGUGAAUGCGUUCCCGGGUCUUGUACACACCGCCCGUCACACCAUGGGAGUUGGUUCUACCUUAAGGCAAGGUUUAAAAUCCUUGACCACGGUAUAGUCAGCGACUGGGGUGAAGUCGUAACAAGGUAGCCGUA
Molecule: ribosomal RNA, 878 nt
Filed under: uncultured bacterium
Lineage: Bacteria
Description: bacterial SSU rRNA
Rfam family: Bacterial small subunit ribosomal RNA
Source: RNAcentral